This 497-nucleotide ribosomal RNA is filed under the name uncultured bacterium. RNAcentral's name for it is "partial 16S ribosomal RNA". It matches the Rfam family "Bacterial small subunit ribosomal RNA", at positions 28 to 507 of the family's 1533-position model. The record is from RNAcentral.
GAUGAACGCUGGCGGCGUGCCUAAUACAUGCAAGUCGAGCGAACAGACGAGGAGCUUGCUCCUCUGACGUUAGCGGCGGACGGGUGAGUAACACGUGGAUAACCUACCUAUAAGACUGGGAUAACUUCGGGAAACCGGAGCUAAUACCGGAUAAUAUAUUGAACCGCAUGGUUCAAUAGUGAAAGACGGUUUUGCUGUCACUUAUAGAUGGAUCCGCGCCGCAUUAGCUAGUUGGUAAGGUAACGGCUUACCAAGGCAACGAUGCGUAGCCGACCUGAGAGGGUGAUCGGCCACACUGGAACUGAGACACGGUCCAGACUCCUACGGGAGGCAGCAGUGGGGAAUCUUCCGCAAUGGGCGAAAGAUUGACGGAGCAACGCCGAGUGAGUGAUGAAGGUCUUCGGAUCGUAAAACUCUGUUAUUAGGGAAGAACAAAUGUGUAAGUAACUAUGCACGUCUAGACGGUACCUAAUCAGAAAGCCACGGCUAACUACGUG